This is a long non-coding RNA of Passer domesticus (house sparrow), 2366 nucleotides long. RefSeq lists it as uncharacterized. The record is from RefSeq and is a predicted model, not a curated record. Lineage: Eukaryota; Metazoa; Chordata; Aves; Passeriformes; Passeridae. The transcript has 2 exons.
UACAGGACACCAGGUAUGCACGGAGACUUCUUCUCCCGUCCCUUUCCUAGCAACAAGCUACCCGAGUCCUCUUCAGCUACAGAAGCCACAAGGAUGCCAAGGGGAUGUAGCUAAAGAACUGCCCAGCACUGAACAAAUGAUCGCGUGCAUCACGCUCACUACACCACCCUAAUUAUUUUCUUUUUUCGAACAUAUUAUCAUAAGAGAAAGUCAAGGAAGUUUUAAAUAUUUCUCUCCUCUAAAGAAAACCUGUUUUCCAUUAACUUGCUCACCAAAGAAGCCAAAGAAAUUACAGUUUGCAAUAAAACCAAAAACAGUUGGAGUGGUAUCACACCCUCCCUUCUCAGAGCUACACACAGCAUCAUGCCCAGCUUGGUUAGGAGCCAGCUCCAGCUCCCAAGCACACACCACCACCAAACCCCAGUGCUGGAGCUUUAUUCCAAACAGUGCUAAAGAGAGUGUUCACACACAGGGAGAAAGCUUAGCUCCCCAGGGACAUGGCACACCAACUGAAGCAAGUGGAGAAAAUAUGGCAGGAAAGAAAAAAAAAAAAAGUGAAAUUCAUAGAUGGGGGUUAAAGUAAACUUGAACUGGCAACACUCUUUCAAGAGUGAAACAUCACUUGCCCAUACAAGAGUACUGUGAGAUUUUGAAAACUAUUUUUAUUUCAAGCAUUCUAGAAGGCCAGGGUUCAGUAACAGAAAAUAGAGGCAUUCAGACUUCUCGCUCAAUAAAUAGAAGUAAGAAGACAGUAUCAAUCCUUGAGUGACAUUUUCCUGAAAUCAAACUAACUUGUCUGCUGCCACUAGUACAACACAGAAGUCUGAAGCUUGGUUAUGGGGGGUAUGAACUCCCUUCCUCCUCCCCUUUUGUAUAAUGUUCUGCUGGUAGGAGAGCAGGACAUUUCCAGCCAAGGAAGACACACACACAUCCACGUGUGUGUCUUCAAACAGUGCAGCCAGAAAAUUUUGCCAGUGGUACAACAUUAAUUUAGAAAUACAUACAUUGUUAACUGCUUCCAUGAAGAUGCAGCAUUUAAGUAGAAAGUGGAGACACAUCAGCAAAUUUGACCAUGGUGGAGCUUCAGCACGAGUUCAGUGAAGUCCUGGCUCUUCAGCUGAUGCAUAAACAAAUGCAGGGAAAGGUGAGGAAGAGGAGAUCAAAGAAUAAAUGGAGAAAUAUUCUGGAUCUGCAAGCUGCACAAGUGGGAAAUAUUAUUUCUGACAAGUAGACACAACCAAGUUUCUUGCUUCUCCUCAAUAUUUCUCACACUUUUAUUGUUAAAUGAGGUGACAGCUGUCACUCCCUCUCCCUGCAAGGAAGUGUCCAGCUUUAUGCAUGCCUCAUAAUUGAUAGAGGUUGCUCUUUAUAAUUAAUUAUGAUUGGUUUUUCUCUACAUACAUAAAUAUUUCCAACACCACUAACAGAAACAUCAAAUCAGUAGUUACCAGUGCUAGUCAUACAUCUUCUCAGUCUACCACAAACCAUACACACCCUUUCUUCAGCGUGUUUGAAUCAGUUCCAUAGUGAAAUGUUCUUGUUUCUGUAGUCCCAAAUUCCCAAAUGAGUUUAGCUGAGGGGAAGCCUAAAGCCUGGUUUCAGAAGAAAAGAAAGGAAGUUGUGCACCCCUGUUUGAGUGAAUAGGAAUGACAGAUGAAGAUGUUUACCAUAUGAAGUUAUAAAGGGACUGGGUGCAAUUAUGACUGAGGGUGAAGGCAGGAGGAGGCAGCUAUGACAUGUAACAAGCACCAUUCCCUACAGGUGAGCAUCACUGCCUGUUCCUGUGGCAAUAUCCAGAUCCUGAUACAAGUGAAUGAAAUACCACAACCUGAAGCUCACAUCCCAUAGAGACAGAUGCCUCUGGUCUCCACUCUGAAUCUCUUCAGCACACUUGAGGAUGUACUGACAAAGUGUAAAUCCCAAAUGGCUUCAGAAAAUGAUCUUUUGUCAUACACAAAGUUAUCUCAAUUUUGAUGAUUAUUACGCGCUUAUCCCUCACAUUUAAAAUCCUUGGUGGCCAACUGAAGUCCUUCCAUGGUGGAAUUAAAGCGAGAAGUUUCUGAAAUAAAAAAAAAGAAGAGGGUCUGCUGAAGUUCCACAACAGCACAGGCAGCAAAAAGAUUUAACAGAUAAUCUAGCCCUCAGACUGAGAAGAAUCUGUCCAAUGUUUUUUAAAGUUUCUAAUACUCAGCUGUUAGUUAUUUCUUUAUGAAGUUAAAAAGAAUGGAGAGGAAGUAGACAAUGGAAAGCAAAGGAAAAAUACAAGAAUGCAAGAAGAGUGAAAAACGAAGAUAACUUGGAUGUCAAAACUAGAGGCAGCAAGGACUUUACCACCUCAAAGCUGAAAAAUAAAGAGACGAGUAACA